AUUGAACGCUGGCGGCAGGCCUAACACAUGCACGUCGAACGAGUGGCGGACGGGUGAGUAAUGUCUGGGAAACUGCCCGAUGGAGGGGGAUAACUACUGGAAACGGUAGCUAAUACCGCAUACCAUCGGAUGUGCCCAGAUGGGAUUGUCUAGGAGGUGGGGUAACGGCUCACCUAGGCGACGAUCCCUAACUGGUCUGAGAGGAUGACCAGCCACACUUGAACUGAGAUACGUUCCAUCCUCUUGCGGGAGGCAGCAGUGGGGAAUAUUGCACAAUGGGCGCACGCCUGAUGCAGCCAUGCCGCGUGUAUGAAGAAGGCCUUCGGGUUGUAAAGUACUUUCAGCGAGGAGGCGUUACCCGCAGAAGAAGCACCGGCUAACUCCGUGCCAGCAGCCGCGGUAAUUC
This 406-nucleotide ribosomal RNA is filed under the name uncultured bacterium. RNAcentral describes it as "partial 16S ribosomal RNA". It matches the Rfam family "Bacterial small subunit ribosomal RNA", at positions 30 to 526 of the family's 1533-position model. The record is from RNAcentral.